RNAcentral lists this transfer RNA (25 nucleotides) under Drosophila putrida. RNAcentral describes it as "partial tRNA-Leu". RNAcentral also lists the same sequence under 1 other name. Lineage: Eukaryota; Metazoa; Arthropoda; Insecta; Diptera; Drosophilidae. The record is from RNAcentral.
AAGGUAUUUUACUUUUAUUAGAAAA